Aegilops tauschii subsp. strangulata is the source of this 4519-nucleotide long non-coding RNA. RefSeq lists it as uncharacterized. The record is from RefSeq and is a predicted model, not a curated record. NCBI's taxonomy places the organism in Eukaryota, Viridiplantae, Streptophyta, Magnoliopsida, Poales, Poaceae.
ACGAUUCGCUCCCGUCGGAAAAAAGAAAGUAAAAACGAUUCGCUAGGUAUUGCCCCGACGACUAAAUCCCCUCUGCGCCGCCACGCGCGAGAGACACGCCCGCCGCCCGAACAUCCGAUUCAGCGCCUCCCGCCGGAGACUGCUCGCGACCGACGAGGGACACGCCGGCGAUAUCUCCGUCGUGGCUGCGCGUCGCCAGCGCCAUCUGAUGCAGCCCCGCGCCUAACCGCGUGCACGCCAUGGGCAGCGGCCAUGGAGGCCGCACCUCCGGCUGCUCGCUCGCCGCUGGCCAGCCAGUACCUCCGCCAACAUCUCAUCCAUCUUGAUCAGGGGCACGACCUACAACUCCAACAGUUUGGCCAAGGGCAUUACAACCACAUCCGCUGCCUUUGGGCACGACCACCAGUGCUUGCGUUCCUCCGAGGAAAGAAUUAUGAGCUCUCACAUAAAUGGCUGAAACGCCUACAGGUGUGUGGGUGUGUUUUAACUUUUGCUCAUUCUUUUGUUUUUAAACAGGUGAAUUUCUGUUGCUGGAGCGUUUUAGUGAAAAGGAAUUCGGUUCUGAAACUACUCUUGAAGUUUAUGACCUGAAAAACACAGGGGAAUUAUUUUCCUCUAUUUUGUGUUACGGUCCUGCUCUACAGCUACAGGUGUUUAUUUUUAUGCCUAAAAGAAAGUAUGUGCUUUCUAGAAUAAGCUCCAUAUAUAUAUACAUCAACGUAAAAUUGGAGCAUGUACAGUUUUAUUCUUGUGCUGAGUGUGCAUCAACAGAUCAAAACUAGAAAUAAAUAGGUGCUUAACCAUUCAUCAUUCUCCUUAAGCACAUUGUAAAAAUGUGAGAAGCAAACCUGAGAAAGGUUAGUGUACUGAAGGCGUAUGCAGUGCUUUCACAGAGGUGACAAAGAGCUACAAAAUGUACGAUGAAUUGUAAAAGGAAAACAAAAUUCUGCACUUGUCAUUUUCGCUAGUUGCUACUGUGUCUCACUAGUCUUCAGGUCUGCACCUACAGAAAGUUCUGAAGCGUCACUAGUGUUCAGUUCUGAAGCAGAUUCAGAAUGAUGGGAUACCAUCCUAAAUACAGUAGCAGCAUCCCAAAUCCAUUCCAAGUGAAAAUGGCCGGAAUUGGUUCUAUUUUUUUUGUAGCAGUGGAGCUCUAAAGAAGAGAUAAGGAAUAACAGUUCAUCUAAAACAGAGAAGAUAGACAAGAAACAGGGCUAUCACGUUUGGCUGGAUCUAAGAAGAUAUUCUGGUGUUGUUCCUCCUCCGCAGCUUCUCCUCCUGCGUGAUCCCCACCUCCUUGAUUUGAUCCCACUGACGAGCUAAGGUUUUCUCCAUCACCCCCUUCAGUACGCAAGCUCAUCUCUUCUCUUUCAUCUCCUUAAUUUCUUGGUCUUUUUACCCUUUCUUUACCCUGCUCCUCAAAAAUCUAGAACCCUAACCCUAAAAAUUAAGAAAUUCAUGGAGAAAAGGGAAUGGAAGAGGAAGAGGGUGGUGUUACCAACGAGAAGACCGCUGACGAUGGAGAGGGACGCCGGAAAAGGUCGUUGCCGCCGCCGAGCUCGCACCAAAUCGAUGCACAGCCCAGUUCGCCUCCUGGUCGCUACCGCAUGAAGAGGGAAAGGGGGGAUAAUCCACGCAGGAGAGAGAGGGGUAGCCCUUGCUUCAAGAUUGUCCCUCCGGCGUCAUCGACAUGGCUGCCGCCGCCUCCGCAAACCGCAAUCGCCAGUGAGGAGGGGCUGAGGAGAGCGGAACGUGAACCGCUCGCACCUGAUUAGAAAAGACAUGGGUACGGGUGGAGACGUAGAGUGGGCUAGCUCCAAAGGACCAGUCAACCGUCGCAUCAACGUAAGCAAGGUAAAUUUACGGCGAUAGACGUGGAAUAAUAUUUUUAUCGGUUGAGGAUUCGUUAAGCCACACUGUUGCUCGGUCGGAUGACUGGGGUGAAGAAUUACUUAUUCUUCACCCUGGGUCCUUAAUAGACUUUAUAUAUAUAUAUAUAUGCAUUUGUAAUUAGUGUGGCUAUCAUGGAAUGGAGGGAUAGAUGAUUUCUGUAUCUGCAUAUUAGUUACAAAACAUGAGUUUGUUGAGAUACAAAGUUCUAGCAUUUGGUUAAAAUCUGAUAUAAAUUUUGAAAUAGGUCCCAAAACUUUCUAAUCAGAUACGACUAGCGUCUAGCAUAUUGCUCUGUUUUGCUAGAUGAUGGUGCUCACAAAUAUUAGGCUAUUACAUUAGCCUAAGGAUAAACAAUAUUCAUGAAGCGCUUCUAUAUUGCCGGACAUGAGUGACCCUCCGAGAGCCAAAGCUGGUCAACCCUGCUCUGUAGCGAAGCACGGGAAUGGGUGCGAGGAUUGAGUUCUAAUUUGGUGGAAAGAGACCAACAGUGUUGAUGUUCAGAGGGCUGAUAUUCAUCUCUAGAGGCAAAUAAUCUCAGAUUUUUUAGUAAACGGUAAUCCCAUAUUGAUAUGAUUCUAUAACAAAGAACAUAUUGUCUGUUUUCCGAACAAAGAGCCAAAGUUAACUCUUUAUUUUUUACUUUUUGAGGUAUAAUGAGCAGAUUUAUGAUUAGUUAGUGCCAUUAUAUUAUCGAUUAAUCUUGCUUUAGUUAUGAUGCACAUGUCCACAACAAUGUAAUGCCAUAUAGAUUGGUGUUGAACGACACAAAUUUAUGUCCCCUGUGCAAAGCAUGGGCAAUUUUCGAGAGGUGAUUGUUAUGGCAGGAGGAGAUGAGUCUGGCGGAGGCAACCCUCCGGCGGCCCGUAGGUGGAGGCUUGGUGGGUGUUAGCGGACGGAUAGCUUUAUCUUCUCAGGAUAAACCAGAUGUUUUCCUAUGCCUUGAGGAGUUGCCGAUGGAUGAUAUGCAAAGGCUACCAAGUGGUAGCUGCAAUGUUGCAAUUGAGGUCAGCAAUGGGUGCUUCUCCUGGGACGGCUCACCUGAGAUAACAACACUGAAGGAUCUGGAUUUUUAAGCUCAGCAAGGCAUGCGUGUUGCAGUCUGUGGGAUGAUCGGAUCUGGAAAAUUAAGUUUGCUCUUUUGCAUUCUCGGUGAGGUGCCAAAGCUAUUAGGAGAGGCUAAAACUUGCGGAACAUUGGCAUAUAUGUCAGCCAAACGGUAUGGAUGCAGAGCAGCAAAAUUCAGGACAACAUACUGUUUGACAAGGAGAUGGAGAGUGAGAAGUAUGGCAGGGUCCUUGAGUGGUGUUCGCUGAAUAAAGACAUGGAGAUCAAAGUCAUUGGAGAGUGAGGCAGCAAUCUUAGUGGUAGGUAGAAGCAAUGGGUUCAGAUAGUCCGUGUAUUGUAUCAGGUGCUGACACCUAUUUCUUCGAUGAUCUGUUCAAUGCAGUUGAUGCUAAUACAUGAUCCCACCUUUUCAAGGAAUGCUUGCUUGGGGCUUAGGCUUAAAAACAAUGGUUUAUGUCACUCACCAGAUUGAAUUCCGGCCUGCAGCCGAUCUUAUUUUGGUAAUGAACGGCGGGAGAAUAGCACAAGCAGACAAAUACAACGAUAUACUUAGUUCAGGAGCGGACCUAGCAGAACUGGUUGGUCCUCACCAAGAGCCUCUCACAACAUUGGACGUGAUUGAUGUUGCCAAUGGAGGUGAUGAGACAUUCUCUUCGAGCCUAUCCAGGCCAUUGUCAUUGGUUGAAGAGAAAGAUAAACAAAAUGGCAAAUAAGACAGUGACAAGGUUCAAAGUGGGCAGAUGGUGCAGGAAGAAGGAAAAAAGAUAGGGUGUGGUUAUGGGUCUACUGGAAGUACCUCACAUUGGCUUACAGGGGAGCUCUUGUAGCACAGUUACUUUUCCAAGUACUUCAGGCGUUCAGAUUGCUAGCAAUUACUAGAUGGCCCGGGCUUCUCAUAUGUCGAAAGACGCCGAGGCUCCAGUGAGUGCAUACAAAAUAGCAACUCUGUUGUUCAACAAGAUGCACAUAGCCAUAUUCAGAGCUCCUAUUUGUUUUUCGACUCCAAUCCAGGUGGGAGCAUCUUGAAUAGAGACUGUGGAAGAAGCCGAGGGGCGAGCCAUUCUGAUUGGCCUCAAGUCGCUUUCAGCCGUGUACAGAGGGCCCAUAAUCAUAUCAUUGGAACUAACAGCGCUAUGAUUACCCAAGAAUUGGAGGUGGGAAGGCCUAAUAGGUCUGGUUGUUUCUCUUUCAUCAGCGACGUAAAAAAUGAGCUGCAGGUUUUCAGCCCCGUCCUCAUCUACUCCAUCCCUAGGGGAAAAAACAAACUGGCACAUGAGCUGGCUGCUCGAGCGAGACGAGAUCGUUCAUCUUUGCUGAUGUAUCGAGGCAACUCUGCACUCUGAUGCUAUCGGAAUGUACCACCUGAGUGUGUUUUGUCUGUUUAGGUAGUCAUCCUAAAAACAAGAACUAUGCUGACUCGGGACUUAAACUGGUUAGGCUUCAACCAAAGGGAAGUGGAUAGAAAGAUCGCUUACCAGAUGGGUUCUGUUGCGGUUUCCAUCAUACAAAUAGCAUCAACACCUAUAUUGGUAAUUGUUUAUUAUAUUAUUUUAUAUUAAAA